RNAcentral lists this transfer RNA (71 nucleotides) under Candidatus Giovannonibacteria bacterium RIFCSPHIGHO2_02_FULL_44_31. RNAcentral describes it as "tRNA-Gly". It matches the Rfam family "tRNA". Rfam says of the family: Transfer RNA (tRNA) molecules are approximately 80 nucleotides in length. Their secondary structure includes four short double-helical elements and three loops (D, anti-codon, and T loops). Further hydrogen bonds mediate the characteristic L-shaped molecular structure. tRNAs have two regions of fundamental functional importance: the anti-codon, which is responsible for specific mRNA codon recognition, and the 3' end, to which the tRNAs corresponding amino acid is attached (by aminoacyl-tRNA synthetases). tRNAs cope with the degeneracy of the genetic code in two manners: having more than one tRNA (with a specific anti-codon) for a particular amino acid; and 'wobble' base-pairing, i.e. permitting non-standard base-pairing at the 3rd anti-codon position. RNAcentral also lists the same sequence under 3 other names. Lineage: Bacteria; Candidatus Giovannoniibacteriota. The record is from RNAcentral.
GCGAGUGUGGUUCAGUGGUAGAAUUCUUGCUUCCCAAGCAAGGGACGCGGGUCCGAUUCCCGCCACUCGCA